Molecule: long non-coding RNA, 10946 nt
Filed under: Populus trichocarpa (black cottonwood)
Lineage: Eukaryota; Viridiplantae; Streptophyta; Magnoliopsida; Malpighiales; Salicaceae
Description: long non-coding RNA (PTRI_LNC002763)
Source: RNAcentral
CGGCAAUGGGCAGAUCUGCCCUACUUUCUUCUUCCCUUCCCUUCUCUGCUGGCUGUGAGAACCACCGUUACCUGCAAAGGGGGAAAAAACACAAUGCAAAGCUUCCGAUUCUCUCCUUUUUUAGAUCUACUCUCUUCUGUCUUCUCUUUCGGGUUUUCUGUUCUUCUCUUUUUCAGGUGGCAGGUCUGCCGGCUUCUUCUCCCCUUCCCCUCUACAUCAGCGGUGGCUGGUGAGGAUGGAGACUGUGGCUGCUGUGGUCGGGUCUGUUCGUUGACCCGGAGAGGGAGGCCGAUGGGUCGGCUGAGAGAGGAGAGGAGUCUGGUGAGGGGAGGAGAUGGCCGUGUCUAUUGGCGUGCGGCUGGAGAUGGGCUGCUGCUGGCCGGUCUUCACUCCUCUUGGCAGGUCCGGCGGGUGUCGAUGCUGGUGCUGUUGCUGAGGGAAGGAAAUGCUGGAGGCGACUGUUCACGGUGGCUGUGAAGGGGGGAGUUGUGGUCAGGUCUGUAUGGGUCUAAGAGGGCAAAGGGAGCUGCUGAGAGGGAGGAUCUGUCGCUGGCUUUGUGUUGAUGAGAGGGAGAGGGGACAGUGUUUUGGGGGCUGCUGGAGGCGAUGGGGCAGGUUGAGGGAGAAGAGAAAAAAAAAUCCAAAACAGGGGGGUCGGCCAGACGGCGACUUGGAGAAGAGAUAGAUUUAGGGUUCUCUUUUUGUGUUGUCUCUCCCCCCAAAUAUCAAAAUUGCCCCCCUCAAAAUAUAUGUGUAGCAUGGUAUUUAUAGGAAAGGUUUUGCUAGGUUUUCAAAUUAGUCCCUCAACUUUUCCUUUCCUUCUCUUUUCCUCUUUUUUGUAAAUUUUGAUUUUUCUUAUUUUUUUGUAUUUUUGAAAGCGAGCAAAUAUCAACAUCGACUCAAUAUGGAAAAUCAAUGAUUUUAAAAAUGAUGCGUUAAAAGUUUAACGCGUUCCAAAUAUCUUUGAAAAUUUAAAUUCUUUUGAGAUGACGUUGAAAAUGCUAAAAACGAUGCAAAUAUAUCAAAAAAUGCAUUUUUUUGGGUUUUCAUUGUUUUUUUUUGCUAUUUUUGGUUUUUUUCUGAAAAAUUAUCAAAACAUGGGUCAAAAAUUGGGUAGCAACAGAUGCCCCCUCUUUACAAUGCUUACGAAGCAAAACUCCUCAAUGUUUUGCAUAGUAAGCUUUGUAAAGAAAAGAAAAAGAAAAUGAUCUCAUUAUCUUGGGCGACCUGCCCCUUUUGAAGAAAAGUGGUCUAUUUUCAGGGGCGACCUGCCCACACAUACUCAAAGUGGUCUAUUUUCAGGGGCGACCUGCCCACACACUCACACUGGUCUAUUUUCACAGGUGACCUGCCCACACAUACUAACUUUGGUCUAUUUUCAGGGGCGACCUGCCCACACACUCACACUGGUCUAUUUUCACGGGCGACCUGCCCACACAUACUCACUUUGGUCUAUUUUCAAGGGUGACCUGCCCUUUUGAUUGGGUUUACCUGAGAUCCCAUCUGGCGAUCUAACAAGAACAAAAAUUGGUGUGUAGCUUGGUCAACCUGAAAUUCCAUCUAGCGAUUCCCUUUAACCAAAGCUAAAUUCUGCGUGGUUAGGCUAAACUGAGAUCCCUUUGCCGAUCCCCUUUAACCAGAACCAAAACUCUUGUGUGCGGUUAGGAUAAACUGAGAUUCCUUUCGCCAAUCCCCUCUAACCAGAACCGAAAUCUGUGUGGUUGGGCUGAACUGAGACCCCUUCGCCGAUCCCCUUCAACCAGAAGCAAAACUCCUGUGUGCGGUUAGGAUAGUCUGAGAUUCCUUUCGCCAAUCCCCUCUAACCAGAACCAAAACUCUUGUGUGGUUAGGAUAGACUGAGAUUCCUUUCGCCAAUCCCCUCUAACCAGAACCAAAAAAUCAUGUGUGGUUAGGAUAAACUAAGACUCCUUCGCCGAUCCCCUUUAACCAGAACCAAAACUCUUGUGUGCGGUUAGGAUAGACUGAGAUUCCUUUCGCCAAUCCCCUCUAACCAGAACCGAAAUCUGUGUGGUUGGGCUGAACUGAGACCCCUUCGCCGAUCCCCUUCAACCAGAAGCAAAACUCCUGUGUGCGGUUAGGAUAGACUGAGAUUCCUUUCGCCAAUCCCCUCUAACCAGAACCAAAACUCUUGUGUGGUUAGGAUAGACUGAGAUUCCUUUCGCCAAUCCCCUCUAACCAGAACUAAAAAAUCAUGUGUGGUUAGGAUAAACUGAGACCCCUUCGCCGAUCCCCUUUAACCAGAACCAUAAUCCUGUAUGGUUAGGAUAGACUGAGAUUCCUUUUGCCAAUCCCCUCUAACCAGAACCAAAAUCUGUGUGGUUGGGCUGAACUGAGACCCCUUCGCCGAUCCCCUUCAACCAGAACCAAAACUCUUUGUAGUUAGGCUAAACUGAGAUCCCUUCGCCGAUCCCCUUUAACCAGAACCAAAGUCUGUGUGUGGUUAAGCUAAACUGAAAUCCCUUCACCGAUCCCCUUUAACUAGAAUCAAAAUCUUCUGUGGUUAGGAUAGACUGAGAUUCCUUUCGCCAAUCCCCUCUAACCAGAACCAAAAAUCCUUUGUGCGGUUAGGAUAGACUGAGAUUCCUUUCGCCAAUCCCCUCUAACCAGAACCGAAACUCCUUUAUGGUUAGGAUAGACUGAGAUUCCUUUCGCCAAUCCCCUCUAACCAGAACCAAAAUCCUUUGCAGUUAGGCUAAACUGAGAUCCCUUCGCCGAUCCCCUUUAACCAGAACCAAAGUCUAUGUGUGGUUAAGCUAAACUGAGAUCCCUUCGUCGAUCCCCUUUAACUAGAACCAAAAUCUGUGUGGUUAAGCUGAACUGAGAUCCCUUCGCCGAUCCCCUUCAACUAGAACCAAAAUCCUUUGCAAUUAGGUUAAACUGAGAUCCCUUCGCCGAUCCCCUUUAACCAUAACCAAAGUCUAUGUGUGGUUAAGCUAAACUGAGAUCCCUUCGCCGAUCCCCUUUAACUAGAACCAAAAUCUAUGUGGUUAAGCUGAACUGAGAUCCCUUCGCCGAUCCCCUUCAACUAGAACCAAAAUCCUUUGCAAUUAGGUUAAACUGAGAUCCCUUCGCCGAUCCCCUUUAACCAUAACCAAAGUCUAUGUGUGGUUAAGCUAAACUGAGAUCCCUUCGCCGAUCCCCUUUAACUAGAAUCAAAAUCUGUGUGGUUAAGCUGAACUGAGAUCCCUUCGCCGAUCCCCUUCAACUAGAACCAAAAUCCUUUGCAAUUAGGUUAAACUGAGAUCCCUUCGCCGAUCCCCUUUAACCAUAACCAAAGUCUAUGUGUGGUUAAGCUAAACUGAGAUCCCUUCGCCGAUCCCCUUUAACUGGAACCAAAAUCUGUGUGGUUAAGCUGAACUGAGAUCCCUUCGCCGAUCCCCUUCAACUAGAACCAAAAUCCUUUGCAACUAGGUUAAACUGAGAUCCCUUCGCCGAUCCCCUUUAACCAGAACCAAAGUCUCUUCGUGGCUAGGCUAAACUGAGAUCCCUUCACCGAUCCCCUUUAACCAGAGCCAAAAUCUUUGUGGUUGAGCUGAACUGAGAUCCCUUCGCCGAUCCCCUUCAACCAGAGCCAAAAUCUUUGCGGUUUGGGCUGAACUGAGAUCCCUUCGCCGAUCCCCUUCAACCAGAACCAAAAUCCUUUGCAGUUAGGCUAAACUGAAAUCCCUUCGCCGAUCCCCUUUAACCAGAACCAAAGUCUAUGUGUGUAGCUCGGUCAACCUGAAAUCCCAUCUGGCGAUUCCCUUUAACCAAAGCUACGUGAGAUCCCAUCUGGCGACCUCCUUUAACCAAAACCAAAAACAUGUAAAAAGUGGUCUCAUUGUAAUGGGUGACCUACCUAGAUGAAAGAAUGUUAAAAAUGGUCUCAUUAUGAUGGGUGACCUACCCAAAUGAAAGACGGAAAAAAUUUGAAGUGGUCUCAUUGUUAUGGGUGACCUACCCGAUAAAGAAAAAAUGUGAAGUGGUCUCAUUGUUAUGGAUGACCUACCCAAAGAAAGAUGGUCUCAUUAUGAUGGGUGACCUACCCAGGAAAGAUGGUCUCAUUAUGAUGGGUGACCUACCCAGGUGAAAGAAAUGAUGGUCUCAUUGUGAUGGGUGACCUACCCAAAGAAAGAUGAUCUCAUUAUGAUGGGUGACCUACCCAGAUGGAAGAUAGAAAAAAUAUGAAGUGGUCUCAUUGUUAUGGGUGACCUACCCAAAUGGAAAGAAUGUGAAGUGCGGUCUCAUUAUAAUGGGUGACCUACCUAGAAAAAAAUGAUGGUCUUAUUAUGAUGGGUGACCUACCCAGAAAAAUGAUGAAAGGUGGUCUCAUUGUUACGGGUGACCUACCCAAAGAUAGAAUGUGACUUACCUGGCAAAAAGACUUGGCCGGCGAAGUCCUAACAGGAUAAGGCUGACAAACGGCGCUUCCUGAUUGCAGGUUGACUUGAAGACUCCUCUUGAUGACAGGGUUAAUUUCCUCAUUUCUUUGAGAUUUUCCUACUGGCAGGGUUCAUCUCAUUCUUUUCUCGUUCCAGAAUCUAAACCGAUUCUGUCAUCAUCAACUCAAAUUCUUUCUUUGUCCACAAUCUUGCUGGACUUCAUUGAGGAUCUUUCUGUAACAAAUCACAAAUAUGUGCAAUGCUUUAAGGUUAGAUGACAUGCAUGCAUCCUUACCUGGUUUGAAAUAUAGGUCCCCCCCUCUUUGAUGCUCCAUCGUCAUAAGGUGCCUUUGUUUGCAUUCCAAAGCCUUCUUUGUUCUUCUGAUGCAUUGGCUCAUUCAUGUGAUAGCCAUCACUCAGAUGUAAGUGCAGUGCCCAUCCUAGGCUGUCCACGACGAUUACUGCUCUCGCUGUUUAUCAAGCUUGACUCUGCCCCCAAGUGUGGUGUUGCUUGAUUCAUCAUGAAGGAUUUUCUCUCCUGGAUUCUUCUGAGAAUUAUCCUCUGAUUGGUUGUGUGCAUCAUGUCAACACCCAUCAAGAUGGUUAAUCAGUUAUGGACUUGCCUCCAGUUGAAACAAUACUUUUCAAGUAUAUGUUACCAUCAACCUUCUUGGAAACUGCCAAGUUGUCCAGACAUGCCUCUCAUAACUUGCCGUAAAAGGCUCUUUGCUACAUUCCCGAUGCUCUUCUCAAUGGAUUCCUUUUGGCUUGUCAAAUCAGCUUAUAAAAAGAAAUGAUUUGGCAUCAUCAAUGAUGUUCAUCACCCAUAUUCAUGCGGUGAAGUGCAUCUUUAGGUUUCAAAACAAAUGGCCCCACAGUCAGCCUUAGUGGGUGCAUCCUUCCAACAUUCAUUCAAAUGCGACUAUGUGAUAACAUCGUUCAAAAGUCAUAGCCAUGUUGGGGAUGAUAAACCAAGAUGAAGAUAUGAAAAUAUCUUUCAAGUGCAGCGUUGACCAUCAAUUGCUGCUGGGAUUGUCUUUGACUAACAUUGCCCCCAAUAUGAUCUGAGUUUGCUUGUUCAUCUGAUUAUCUUUCUUUGAACACCAUUGCCCUCAGCUCACUGAUUCAUCAUUUAAUCGUCUUCCAUUGCCCCUAGCUGAUUUGAAUACUGUUUGUUUUCCUUCUCAAGGUCCACUGCAUUGCCCUAGGUGGUCAACUUGUCAAGGAGUCUUGAGAAGUGUUGAUGUCAUUUCUGUCAAGGAUUUUGCAAAUUCAAUUGAUAUUCUUCUUGUUUGACAAUCUUUCUAUUCUGGAAUCAACUCUCAUACUUCAAAGAUCAUGUCUAUCCAAAGUCUAGUUUGUUGAAAUGAAAUCAGAGAUGUUCUUUUUUGAAAGUAUUUUUUUAAAAAAAAUUCAAGCUUCUUUGGUCAAAGACCCAACACACGCUAUUCAAAAUAUGCAAUCCUUUGAUUGUCUUGUAUUUUGAAAACAGAAAUUGACCCGUUGUAAGAUUAAAAUGACUUUUUUCAUGGUUUUUUGUGUCAGUUUUAAUCUUUGAUCUUGGGUAUACCUUUCAAUGGUCUACGAUGAGGUGACCUUUUGUGAAUUUCAAAAAACACACAAGGCUCAAGUCAAAACUUGAGGAUUCAUCAAGAAAGAUUGUUUUCUUUUUUAGCACCAAUUUUAUCAGCAUGCAUAAUGACCAGUAGCUUAAUUCAUGAAGCCACGACUCUUAUGGAAAAGCUCUUCAAGUUUCGAGAGCGCCAUUUAUCGGUUCAAAUUGCUCACUUGAUCAAAAAGGGCUUUUAAAAGCACGUAAUAUAGGCUAUGGUUCAUGGCUUAUGAAAGAAGGGAAAUUCACAGGCUCAAAAGGUGUUUGAGGGUUUCAACGACCUAGGAUCAACAUCAACUAUUCAUCAACUCUCUUUCUUGUUGUCAUUGUAGAGAAAGUGACAUAUAACCUUGUUAAUUUCAGAGAUCAGAAUUCUCUUAACAUAGGUCAUAUUGCUAAUCCAAAUUUUCUUUGAUGAAUAACCGAUCUAAUCUUUUUGAAGACAUCAGAGGCUUUAUCCUAGACACACCAAAAGAUAUGAAACUUGAUUUUUUUUUUUAACUUUUGGCAUUUGUUGUGUCUUUCUUCAAUUGAAACCUCUUUUGCCCAUCUUAGAAUUGAUAGGCAUUCUCCUUCCAUUCCACUUUUUUUUUGCUUUUACAUAGCCUUCCUCAAAGUUUUCUUGGAUGGCCCUCAAUCUAUGGCUUUUCUUCUUUUAGCCCUCUCUCAAUCAUUGGACUUUUGUUCUAAGCCUUCCCCUUUAUCCAUUAAUCCAAUCAGUGUCUUCAAAAUAUCUCUCAUUUGCCCCCAGUGUAGGGUGUGAUCCUCAUUAGGGUUUCUUUUUGAAAGAAAAUAUUUUACCAGGCUCAAAAUGGGACUGCAAGGGAUAAUAUUUCAAGAAAUGUGAAAGAAUAACAAAGAUGGCCUUUUCUCAUUUCAAGCAAGGUCGGUUAAAACCGAUAAAUUUUGACCUCAUCCAGUGUAAUGAUUGGGACUUGUAAGAGUCAAUGAUUCACGAGUCCAUAACUACUGAAUCCACUACAUGUUAUUAUGCAUACUGUUAAAAUUUAGCUAUAUGAUGUGUGGUUCAAUUUCAGGAGGUAUGAGUUCAAAAUUGUUUGGUCACCUCAUGUCAUUUUCAAGCAUCGAGUCAUUUCUGCAAUCAAAAUACUUUUAAUCUUCAUGAUUAAACUUUGCAUGUUGGAGUUUGAUCAAAAAUAUUUUAUCAAAGUACCCUUUGAAAGAAGCAUCUCUUGAUUUCAAAACAACAACAAGACAAAGAAAAGACAUGUUUCGUUGAAGGAUGAGAUGUGAUCCCAAAACAAAAUGCAGAAUGACAAAAAUCCAUAACAAAAUGAUUGACAAUUCAGCACCAUUCUUGGAUCAGCUACUCUGGCCAUAUCUGUGUUUUGCCGAGCAAUUUCGAUCACUUGUCAUUCUGAGGGUGUUCUGGUGAAAAAAAUGAUCGAUGACAUCAUCUUUCACAAACUAAGCUCGAUUCUUGAAUCUCUUGCAUCUGUUCAACCGAAAUGGCCGAGGACCCCACCAUGACAACACAUCUCUUGUCUGGAUUGAACCACCUAGAAAACGGUGGUUACAUGAGUUUUGUCGGAGUCAGGCAAAAUUCUAGAAUCUGGCCAAUGCUGGUCGACAAACUUAAGUGGCAGAGGGAUGUCAAUCUUGGCAAAGACAUUGGAGUAGUCGAUGAUACAACGAGACUUGGCUAGACCACAUAAUUAAGGUUUCUCACCGUCAAACUCUUCUUUUGAUUCAUCUCUCAUCAUUGUUCUAGAAUUCAUGGCAGAACCUUCAAUCUUUCACUUCUUCAUUGCUCGUUCAAUUCCUUCGACAAUCUUCACAACAUCAUGUCAAUCUUCCCAUGUUGUUGUGGUCGUUUGUUGAUUGUUGGAAACCUUCCAACAACUAGGUAAUCUUGGCAGUGCAUAGAAUCAUGCAGCGCUAUCAUUGUCAAUGUGUGAAAUGACGCAUUGUUUUUAUUGGAGGAGAAACUGAUGAAUCUGGAAUUCCUCUAUUUCCUCUUUGAUUCCUCACUGACGGUGCAGCAAACAGACACAUGUAAAGGAAGUUCUGCUCUGUUGAAGUUUUAGUCUUCUUCCUGUUUUUUCAGUCCAAGUCUGUCUCUUCUCCCUACUUUUGUGUUUUCAAGCUAACACUGAUGGGAGAAAAUUGUAGAUGAUCUGAAACUACUGCAUCCCUUCUUGGAUUCUCCACUUGCAGAGCCACAAACAAAUUUCUGCAGAGAGAGCUCUGCCAUGGUGAAGUUCUAUAUUUGCUCUUGUUUUCUAGCUCAGGUCUGGCUUUUCUGCCUACUACAGGUUUUCGAUGUUGAAACUGGUGGGGUAAAUUUUCAUAUCGUCUGAAACUACUACAUCCCCUCUUCCAUUCCCCACUUGCAGAGCCAUAAACGGGUUUUUGUAGAGAGAGCUCUGCCACUUCAAAGUUCGACGACUGCUCAUGUUUUCAGACUAGGUCUGACUCUUCAGCCUACUCCAGUGUUUCAGUGCUGAAACUGGUGAGACAAAUUUUUGUAGCGUAUGAAAGUACUGCAUCCCCUCUUGCAUUCCCCUCUGUAGAGAGAGCUCUGCCACGUUAAAGUUCAAUGUCUGCUUCCGUUUUUUUCAGGUCAACAUCCGAUGCAAGAACCAAGGCUGUCAUUAGCUGAUGACUGGAGGCAUUGCUGCUGUUGUUCAUGACUGAAAAAGAUAGGUGCAGCUUCAAUGGGGCGUGGACAAGCAGUGUCCCCAUAAAAUACCGUGUAGACAUUCCCUCUCCAUUUGAAGCUCAACACUUGUUUGAGCAAACCUGAGUCUAGCUACUCCAUCCUUGAUGCUCUCAACUUCCUUUUAACAAUGAGCCUCUCUCUGACCCCUUUCUUCAUUUCUGUUUUUUCAGUCCAGUGUAGUAAACCUCGGAUGGGGGAACCUAUUUUUCCUCCCGGUACAUGCAUGAUAAAUGUAUGAACAUGUAAUCUAUAUGAGGAACUCGCCCUUCGAGGGGUGACAUAUGAUCGUAACUCUUGCAUGAUGAAACAAGAAUCUUGAUUCUUGCCCAAACUCUACAAUGAAAAUUUUCUAAGCGACGGUCAUUGGAUCACCCACAAGUCUUGAGUUCAAGAUGCUUCAAGAAGGGCUUGCUGAUGCAAAACAAUGUAUACGGCGCUUACAUCCUAAAGUCAGGUUCUAAUCCUUUUAAGUGAGAUAAAAUGGAGGUUUACUACUUGGUCUCUAAAAAGGGUCUCUUGUUGUCCCAGUGAUCGCCCUCGUGGAGGCAAUAUGGGGGCUUGUAGGCAAUGAGAUGGCACGUGUCCAACUAUUACCAAUCUAAGCACUCAACGAAGAGUUGAGGUUUACACAAACUUAAACCUUGACUAAAAGUCAUAAGGUAAGCUGCUAGUCCCCCACCUAACCUAAAGCUUGUGUGUGCUUACAAAAAUUACAAUAUGUGAUGCAUGAAACAAUUCUAAAAAUGCAUGGAUAAAACAAAAAUAAAACAAGAUAAAAAUGCAAAAACUUAAACACAUCAAAUACACAAAGCUUAGUCCAAUAGUGUUGAAAACAAUACCUUCCCCAGUGGAGUCGCCAUUCUGUCGCACGUCAUAAAAUCCGCGCGGCAUCGGCUGGCGAUUUUUUUCUUUCUUCUCGUUUUGCUUUGAUUGGUUCGUUGGAGUCGCCACCUAGUAAUUUAUUAAGGGCUACUAGGAAACCUGAUGUACUGGUCUUGUCAGAGAUUCACGGGUAAGGGACUGGUUGUGGUUAGGGAAGGUAUUAGCACCCCUAACGCACCCUACCUGAGGUAAGCUGCUUUGUGGACUUGAUGUGUUUUAAAAAAUAAAAUUUUAGCCCAAUUCCAAGGCUUUGAUAAAUCAGUUAUUAGUUCCCAAAAUAUAUGUAGAUACAUGUUCUACAUUUUUAUGGAAAAUACAACAUGAUUUUUAUCUGUCCUUUAGAUAUUUGUGCAUAUAAAUUAAAAUAUUAAAUUCAUUUUUUUUUAUUCAAUAACAUACCUAAAAAAAAAUACAAACACACACAGAACUCUUUUUCUAUUAUUAUUUGUUUUUUGCUCUUUUCUUUUCUUUUUUUUUAUUUUACAUCCACAUUUACACCAAGUACAAAUUAUAUAAAAAAAACUCAAAAUUACACAAAUAUUACAUUACACAAUUUGAAAAUUACAAAAUAAUCCAAAAAAUCAGGAAAACAACUCUGGGAUGCGUUCUGGGUCUGCUGAACAGUAGCGGCGCGUCUCCCCACGCGCCUCCGCCACGGGCGGCGCGUGAAUCCACGCGCCGCUGCUGACAAUGACCGGCAAUGGGCAGAUCUGCCCUACUUUCUUCUUCCCUUCCCUUCUCUGCUGGCUGUGAGAACCACCGUUACCUGCAAAGGGGGAAAAAACACAAUGCAAAGCUUCCGAUUCUCUCCUUUUUUAGAUCUACUCUCUUCUGUCUUCUCUUUCGGGUUUUCUGUUCUUCUCUUCUUCAGGUGGCAGGUCUGCCGGCUUCUUCUCCCCUUCCCCUCUGCAUCAGCGGUGGCUGGUGAGGAUGGAGACUGUGGCUGCUGUGGUCGGGUCUGUUCGUUGACCCGGAGAGGGAGGCCAAUGGGUCGGCUGAGAGAGGAGAGGAGUCUGGUGAGGGGAGGAGAUGGUCGUGUCUGUUGGCGUGCGGCUGGAGAUGGGCUGCUGCUGGCCGGUCUUCACUCCUCUUGGCAGGUCCGGCGGGUGUCGAUGCUGGUGCUGUUGCUGAGGGAAGGAAAUGCUGGAGGCGACUGUUCACGGUGGCUGUGAAGGGGGGAGUUGUGGUCGGGUCUGUAUGGGUCUAGGAGGGCAAAGGGAGCUGCUGAGAGGGAGGAUCUGUCGCUGGCUUUGUGUUGAUGAGAGGGAGAGGGGACAGUGUUUUGGGGGCUGCUGGAGGCGAUGGGGCAGGUUGAGGGAGAAGAGAAAAAAAAAUCCAAAACAGGGGGGUCGGCCAGACGGCGGCUUGGAGAAGAGAUAGAUUUAGG